Hordeum vulgare subsp. vulgare (domesticated barley) is the source of this 137-nucleotide long non-coding RNA. RefSeq lists it as uncharacterized. The record is from RefSeq and is a predicted model, not a curated record. NCBI's taxonomy places the organism in Eukaryota, Viridiplantae, Streptophyta, Magnoliopsida, Poales, Poaceae. The transcript has 3 exons.
CUGCAAGAUAACACGGCCUACUUUGUUGUCAAGCAAUACUUCGUUAAUCCGGAUGACACUGUCUGUCAGAAGAUUGUUGUUCACAAGGAUGGCCCAAGAGGAAACCACUUCCGUCGUGCUGGACCUCGCUAAAGGGU